UCUUGGUCAUUUAGAGGAAGUAAAAGUCGUAACAAGGUUUCCGUAGGUGAACCUGCGGAAGGAUCAUUAACGAGUGUUGGUCGCCCCCGCGGUGGCCGCCUCCCAUCCCAUGCCUUCCAUUUACACGCUUCGCUUCGGUGGGGAGACUCGCCGGCGUGCCAGCAGAACCCGUAACUGAACGGUGCCGUCCGAGGAUUUGUGGCGAAUUCGACGAAAACUUUCAACAACGGAUCUCUUGGUUCUGGCAACGAUGAAGAACGCAGCGAAAUGCGAUAAGUAAUGUGAAUUGCAGAAUUUAGUGAAUCAUCGAAUCUUUGAACGCACAUUGCGCCCUCCGGCAUUCCGGGGGGCACACCUGUUCGAGCGCCAUUUCAACCCUCAAGCCCCGCUUGGUGUUGGGCGGGGCCCCGCGGAAGGGGCCCGCCCGAAAGUGUUAGGCGCCACCGCCCAACCGCCCGCGUAGCAGGCUCGGUGAGCAC
RNAcentral lists this unclassified non-coding RNA (479 nucleotides) under Dothideomycetes sp. KO-groupJ 2014. Its description in RNAcentral is "partial contains ITS1, 5.8S rRNA and ITS2". The stretch from base 216 to 369 matches the Rfam family "5.8S ribosomal RNA". Lineage: Eukaryota; Fungi; Ascomycota; Dothideomycetes. The record is from RNAcentral.